CUACGUGCCAGCAGCCGCGGUAAUACGUAGGGGGCUAGCGUUAUCCGGAUUUACUGGGCGUAAAGGGUGCGUAGGUGGUCCUUCAAGUCGGUGGUUAAAGGCUACGGCUCAACCGUAGUAAGCCGCCGAAACUGGAGGACUUGAGUGCAGGAGAGGAAAGUGGAAUUCCCAGUGUAGCGGUGAAAUGCGUAGAUAUUGGGAGGAACACCAGUAGCGAAGGCGGCUUUCUGGACUGCAACUGACACUGAGGCACGAAAGCGUGGGUAGCAAACAGGAUUAGAUACCCUGGUAGUCCACGCUGUAAACGAUGAGUACUAGGUGUCGGGGGUUACCCCCCUCGGUGCCGCAGCUAACGCAUUAAGUACUCCGCCUGGGGAGUACGCACGCAAGUGUGAAACUCAAAGGAAUUGACGGGGACCCGCACAAGUAGCGGAGCAUGUGGUUUAAUUCGAAGCAACGCGAAGAACCUUACCUAAGCUUGAC
This 483-nucleotide ribosomal RNA is filed under the name uncultured bacterium. RNAcentral's name for it is "bacterial SSU rRNA". It matches the Rfam family "Bacterial small subunit ribosomal RNA", at positions 501 to 985 of the family's 1533-position model. The record is from RNAcentral.